GGAGCAGUCGGUAGCUCAGUGGUAGAGCGCAUGCUCUGUGUGUAUGAUGUCCUGGUUCAAAUCCCAGCUGCUCCC
Molecule: transfer RNA, 75 nt
Filed under: Dallia pectoralis (Alaska blackfish)
Lineage: Eukaryota; Metazoa; Chordata; Actinopteri; Esociformes; Umbridae
Description: tRNA-OTHER
Rfam family: tRNA
About the family: Transfer RNA (tRNA) molecules are approximately 80 nucleotides in length. Their secondary structure includes four short double-helical elements and three loops (D, anti-codon, and T loops).
Source: RNAcentral